GCCUAGCCGUAAACAAUUAACUUACACCACACCGCCAGGGAAUUACGAGCAAUGCUUAAAACCCAAAGGAUUUGACGGUGUCCCACCCCGCUAGAGGAGCCUGUUCUAUAAUCGAUGAUCCCCGCUUCACCUAACCAUUCCUCGCCCAUCAGUCUGUAUACCUCCGUCGAAAGCUUACCCUGUGAACGUCCGCAGUAGGCUCAAUGAUUCCCCAUCAGUACGUCAGGUCAAGGUGCAGCUUAAGGAAUGGCAAGCAAUGGGCUACAAUUUCUAAUCUAGAACAAACGAAAGACUAUGUGAAACCCUAGUCAUGAAGGUGGAUUUAGUAGUAAAAAGAAACUAGAGUGUUCUUUUUAACCCGGCUCUGGGACGCGUACACACCGCC
RNAcentral lists this ribosomal RNA (385 nucleotides) under Rana chaochiaoensis. RNAcentral describes it as "partial 12S ribosomal RNA". It matches the Rfam family "Bacterial small subunit ribosomal RNA", at positions 794 to 1394 of the family's 1533-position model. The record is from RNAcentral. Lineage: Eukaryota; Metazoa; Chordata; Amphibia; Anura; Ranidae.